UACGUAGGGUGCGAGCGUUAAUCGGAAUUACUGGGCGUAAAGCGUGCGCAGGCGGCUUUUUAAGCCAGAUGUGAAAUCCCCGGGCUUAACCUGGGAACUGCAUUUGGAACUGGAAAGCUAGAGUGCGGCAGAGGGGGGUAGAAUUCCACGUGUAGCAGUGAAAUGCGUAGAUAUGUGGAGGAAUACCGAUGGCGAAGGCAGCCCCCUGGGUCGACACUGACGCUCAUGCACGAAAGCGUGGGGAGCAAACAGG
Molecule: ribosomal RNA, 253 nt
Filed under: uncultured bacterium
Lineage: Bacteria
Description: partial 16S ribosomal RNA
Rfam family: Bacterial small subunit ribosomal RNA
Source: RNAcentral